AUUGAACGCUGGCGGCAGGCCUAACACAUGCAAGUCGGGCGGUAACAGGGAGAAGCUUGCUUCUCUGCUGACGAGCGGCGGACGGGUGAGUAAUGUAUGGGGAUCUGCCUGAUGGAGGGGGAUAACUACUGGAAACGGUAGCUAAUACCGCAUAAUGUCUGCGGACCAAAGCGGGGGACCUUCGGGCCUCGCGCCAUCAGAUGAACCCAUAUGGGAUUAGCUUGUAGGUGAGGUAACGGCUCACCUAGGCGACGAUCCCUAGCUGGUCUGAGAGGAUGAUCAGCCACACUGGGACUGAGACACGGCCCAGACUCCUACGGGAGGCAGCAGUGGGGAAUAUUGCACAAUGGGCGCAAGCCUGAUGCAGCCAUGCCGCGUGUAUGAAGAAGGCCUUCGGGUUGUAAAGUACUUUCAGUCGGGAGGAAGGUGGUGAGCUUAAUACGCUCAUCAAUUGACGUUACCGACAGAAGAAGCACCGGCUAACUCCGUGC
Molecule: ribosomal RNA, 491 nt
Filed under: uncultured bacterium
Lineage: Bacteria
Description: bacterial SSU rRNA
Rfam family: Bacterial small subunit ribosomal RNA
Source: RNAcentral